This 74-nucleotide transfer RNA is filed under the name Thermoleophilia bacterium. RNAcentral describes it as "tRNA-Arg". It matches the Rfam family "tRNA". Rfam says of the family: Transfer RNA (tRNA) molecules are approximately 80 nucleotides in length. Their secondary structure includes four short double-helical elements and three loops (D, anti-codon, and T loops). RNAcentral also lists the same sequence under 2 other names. The record is from RNAcentral. Lineage: Bacteria; Bacillati; Actinomycetota; Thermoleophilia.
GCGCCAGUAGCUCAGUCGGAUAGAGCGCCGGUCUACGAAACCGGAGGUCGCAGGUUCGAAUCCUGCCUGGCGCA